CAAAGUAACUCAGCCAGGUGACAGCGGAGACAGCAGCCACUCUACGCAGCUCAAAACGCAACGUAAAGCUAUCUGUCAGCGCCUGAUCAAAGUGGUGGAUUCACAGAUAUAUCCUCUAGUAUUGCUUUAACUUUUGAGUUUUACAUUUACGUGAUUUAAAAAGCCUCUCUCCCGCUCGCUGUUGCAGAGUAGUUAGCUAGCAGAUUGACGUUAGCUCCUCUGACGUUACUACCGGAGAGACCCCAACGGUUGCUGUAUCUCUGACCGACAAACAGCGUCAACAUGUCGGACCCGGCCGGGGAGGUGAAGCUGGAGGUGAAACAGGCCAGCAAAGAGGUGAAAGAGAGCGAAAAUGUAGCGGAGAAAUAUUCAGCUAUGACCGUAAGCAAGAAUAGCGAAAUGAACAUGGGAGACCUGUCGUCCGCCUUCAGUGCGGUGCCCACUCACAAACCUGUCAAAAAGCAAAUCCAGUUUGUGGAGGACAAGCAGGAGUUCAGCAGGUUCCCCACCAAGGCAGGCCGGCGCUCCCUGUCCCGCUCCAUCUCUCAGUCGUCCACAGACAGCUACAGCUCCGCUGCAUCCUAUACGGAUAGCUCUGAUGAUGAGUCGUCACCACGGGACAAAACUCAGGUCAACUCCAAGGGCAGCAGCGACUUCUGUGUGAAGAACAUCAAACAGGCUGAGUUUGGAAGACGAGAGAUUGAGAUUGCAGAACAAGAUAUGACGGCGCUUAUCUCUCUCAGGAAGAGAGCACAGAGUGAGAAACCAUUGGCAGGUGCCAAAAUCGUGGGCUGCACUCACAUCACUGCCCAGACUGCAGUGCUGAUCGAGACUCUGGUGGCUCUGGGGGCUCAGUGCCGCUGGACUGCAUGUAACAUUUACUCGACACAAAACGAAGUGGCUGCUGCUCUGUCAGAGACCGGUGUGGCUGUGUUUGCCUGGAAAGGGGAGUCCGAGGAUGAUUUCUGGUGGUGCAUUGACCGCUGUGUCAACAAUGAGGGAUGGCAGGCUAACAUGAUCCUCGAUGAUGGAGGAGACUUGACACACUGGAUGUACAAGAAAUACCCCAACGUAUUCAAGAAGAUCAGGGGCAUUGUAGAGGAGAGUGUCACUGGGGUUCACAGGUUGUAUCAGCUGUCUAAAGCUGGAAAGCUGUGUGUACCCGCUAUGAAUGUGAAUGACUCUGUGACCAAGCAGAAGUUUGACAACCUGUACUGCUGCAGAGAGUCAAUCCUGGACGGCCUGAAGAGAACCACAGACGUCAUGUUCGGAGGCAAACAGGUGGUCAUAUGUGGGUACGGUGAGGUUGGAAAAGGUUGCUGUGCCGCCCUGAAAGCUCUGGGAGCCGUCGUCAGCAUCACAGAGAUCGAUCCCAUCUGUGCCUUGCAGGCAUGCAUGGACGGAUUCAGGGUGGUGAAGCUGAAUGAGGUCAUUCGUCAGGUUGAUGUCAUCAUCACAUGCACUGGGAAUAAGAAUGUGGUGACCAGAGACCAGCUGGACCGAAUGAAAAACGGCUCCAUUGUCUGCAACAUGGGCCACUCCAACACUGAGAUUGAUGUGGCGAGUCUCCGGACCCCCGAGCUGACCUGGGAAAGGGUGCGCUCUCAGGUGGAUCAUGUCAUUUGGCCUGAUGGCAAGAGGGUCAUCCUUCUGGCUGAGGGACGUCUCCUUAACCUCAGCUGCUCCACUGUCCCUACCUUUGUCUUGUCCAUCACAGCUACCACUCAGGCCCUGGCCCUUAUAGAGUUGUACAACGCUCCUGAGGGACGAUACAAGCAGGAUGUUUACUUGCUCCCCAAGAAGAUGGUACUAAGCCGUACCUGUGCGUUUCAGAUGAAUAUGUGGCCAGUCUGCAUCUGACCACAUUUGAUGCCCACCUGACGGAGCUGUCUGAUGAUCAGGCAAAAUACCUGGGCCUGAACAAGAACGGCCCUUUCAAACCUAACUACUACAGGUAUUAGUCUGCAUGGGGGCCAUGCUUCAGCUCACUCAAAUGUAAACGCUACCAAACAUGACUUUCCCUAAGGCAAGAAAAAGAUUUAUGUAUAUUGUAUUUUAUACUCUUCACAGGACGCACAGGUUAUAUUAAGUUGUAUUUUACUGACCGCAGCAGGUUUUGCUUCACUUGCUGCGUCUUACAGACCUACACGUGGCACUUAUAUCUGCCGUAUAGUGGGAUUUUUAUUUUCAGGUGCAUCUGUUUCCAAACCUGCUGACUCCUGGUUACUAUAUAGUUCUGUCUUGGAUAUUAAAUGUAUGAAUAUAGUGUGCCAAAUGACGGGUUACAGUUGUUGUUAAAUGUCAAUGGUUAGUUGUGGAAUCAUUUAAACCUGCAGUACGCGAUACUUUUAAAAUGUGAGUUUCUCAAGUUAAAACUCCCUGGGCUUUUUAGAUGCUUUUAACUCCAUGUUUUGGCUCUCUAAACAACAUCUAAUAUGAAGCUGGUGGCAGUAAUUUCCAGAAAACAUAAAUCGUAGACAAGCCUUGCUUGAUAUAGAGACCAGAGAGCCAUUGUAAACUCCUGGCUGAGAAAGAAAGUCUUUAUCCAAAUUUUUCUAAGGUGAAAUAAAACACCUUUUAUUGCCAGGGGGCGAGGAAUUGAACUAGGAGUGGCUGUUUGUCUGCUAGAUGUUUAAGUAAGCAAUUACUUGCAGACAAAUUAGCCAUUUUAACUAGAUAAUUCUAACUGAUUUGUAAAACACGUCUGUGUUUCUGCCUCCUAUGGUCAAAUAUCGCUUACUGCAGCUUUAACAUUUUCUGUCUUGCUUACUUCACACAUUCCAUCCAAAAUUACAGAAGAAAUGUCCUUUUUCUCUCUCUGUAUUAUCGUCUGGCUAACUAUCAGCACACCUGGCCUAAAAAAGUUACUUCAAACUUUCAUUCUUAUUGCAAACGAAAAAAAGCUAAGCAUUUACUUUUGGGGAAAAAGACAUGUCCAUUUAUGAGGUUUUGGUGUCUGGUAAGAAUAGUAUCUGUACCUCAGGGCAUUCAAAUAUCUCAAAUGGUUUGUAAAAGUGUUUUUAUCAGCACUGUCUGACCUUGGGUUCAGAUCUAGUGCAGUGUCACUAUCAGACAUUAUUUACAGAACAACUGUAGAACAGGUUUAGAUAUUUUUGUACUCUAUGAUCUAUGUCACCUGUCCAGAGUUAAAUGACUAUUGCAGAAAUGUAUAUUCUGAAUGAAGCGAACACAACACAACCUGAUGUUGAACUGUGUUACAUGCAGUGUGUUUAAUCUGCAUAUGCAACAACUCUCUCUGAAGUGUAACAUUGAGUUUAUUGUUAGAUCUGUCACAGGACUCGGCUCUUACCAGUCUGUUGAAUCCACAAAUGCUCAGACAUGGAUAAGCUUUGUUGUCAGCACAUUUACCUAGACACAAGUUAGCUCUACCUUCUCUGUUAUCUUGCUAUAUUGCACCAUUAUUAUAUCUAUUAUUAAAACACAAUAUGAUGUUUCUGCCGCUUUUUAUCAUUCAUAAAGCUUAGGCACAGUUUUGUGAGGCUUGUUAAAUGCAUACACUUAUUACCCCACCUUGUUGAUUUUCACUUUAAAUACUUUGAAUAUUGGACCACUCAGUUGAGUGGCUCUUUUUUAAUUCAAACUAUAUAGUGUGCAGGUAGUAGUUGAGUCUCUUGGACACAUUUUAACAUGCUGUAUAUGAUGCUGGUGGUCUGUGGGCCUGCCGAGGCUUCGGCACCUUGUUACCUUGCUAUGGUGUUGUUCAAAUGUAUUUACUUAGUAUGCUGUAUCACCCUUUUUUUAAACUUCAGACUCCAGCCAAAGUUCAGGUUAUUUCUGCAUUGAAUUUUAUUUUUGUAUGAGUGUUGUUGUCACUUACUCCUGCUUUAAAGGAAAACAGAAUGACUCUUUGUAAAUCAAUUACUCAGCCUGUGUUACCUUCAUUUCUUGGGUUUUUCUUGCAUAUCUCCACAGUAACCUAGAAUCAAAAGACAAAACAAAGCUCUUUGAAUAGAUGGGUCUUGCUUAACAACACCAAAAAUAUUGUUUUGCAUUCAUUUUUAGAAGCUUACUGUUAAAUAUUUAAUGCAAGAAAAAAAAUGUGUAUAGGCUGAGUUAUUGACAUAAGGGAUUUUCCUUGAAUGGUUUAGUAUCUCAAAGGAUGCUUUUAUGAAAUGCUUUUAAUCUUUGCACUAGCAGCUUUAAAGCAUCGGAGCCGAGGACACUCAGUGAGGACAUUGUCAGCAAGACGAGCGCUGCCUGUAACCAUGGUUACUGGUCAUUUGACAGUGCCUUGUGACUCACUUAGUAAUUUAUAUUCAGACAUGUACGACUGUGUUUUUCUCCCAGUAUAGAAAUGUGCCCAGUAUUUGUUUUUCAUCAAUAUACAGUGAUAGCUAUGCAGCAAAAUAUACUCGUUUUCUUCUCUCAAAGUAUUUUACUCAAGACGACAACUCAUUUUACACAUUAAAGGGCAACAUUUUACACUCUGUUGUAUUUUGAUGUAUAUUACUUAUCUUUUAACAAUCAGGCAAAACAUAUUUGUUGGUCUUCUGAAAAUAGCACUUAAAAAUGAAUUUUUUAAUGUAUUCCUUUUGUUUAGUUAAUAACAAUCAUUUUAACCUAGUUGUAUCUCUUUAAGAGACAAAUGAAUGUGUUAUUACUAUAGCAAACAGCUUGACUCAAAGUCAAAGUAAAAAAAAUGUGUACAACUGUGAUUUGACAAGAACCUCAUUCCGGCAGUAUGCAACAUAUUACAUUUCUGUGCACAGUUCCCUUUAAUAAACUACUGUUAAAUUUGAAAA
Molecule: RNA transcript, 4763 nt
Organism: Eleginops maclovinus (Patagonian blennie)
Lineage: Eukaryota; Metazoa; Chordata; Actinopteri; Perciformes; Eleginopidae
Gene name: S-adenosylhomocysteine hydrolase-like protein 1
Exons: 17
Source: RefSeq, a predicted model, not a curated record